Molecule: ribosomal RNA, 301 nt
Filed under: uncultured bacterium
Lineage: Bacteria
Description: partial 16S ribosomal RNA
Rfam family: Bacterial small subunit ribosomal RNA
Source: RNAcentral
CAGCAGCCGCGGUAAUACGUAGGUGGCAAGCGUUAUCCGGAAUUAUUGGGCGUAAAGCGCGCGUAGGCGGUUUUUUAAGUCUGAUGUGAAAGCCCACGGCUCAACCGUGGAGGGUCAUUGGAAACUGGAAAACUUGAGUGCAGAAGAGGAAAGUGGAAUUCCAUGUGUAGCGGUGAAAUGCGCAGAGAUAUGGAGGAACACCAGUGGCGAAGGCGACUUUCUGGUCUGUAACUGACGCUGAUGUGCGAAAGCGUGGGGAUCAAACAGGAUUAGAUACCCGGGUAGUCCCUGUCUCUUAUAC